Molecule: ribosomal RNA, 251 nt
Filed under: uncultured prokaryote
Description: partial 16S rRNA
Rfam family: Bacterial small subunit ribosomal RNA
Source: RNAcentral
ACGGAGGGUGCAAGCGUUAUUCGGAAUUACUGGGCGUAAAGGGGGGGAAGGGGGGGGGGCAAGUCGGAUGUGAAAGCCCGGGGCUUAACCCCGGAGGGGCAUUGGAAACUGCUUUUCUUGAGUUCUGGAGAGGAAGGGAGAAUUCCCGGUGUAGAGGUGAAAUUCGUAGAGAUCGGGAGGAACAUCAGUGGCGAAGGCGCCCUUCUGGACAGCAACUGACGCUGAGACGCGAAAGCGUGGGGAGCAAACAG